Molecule: long non-coding RNA, 624 nt
Filed under: Ananas comosus (pineapple)
Lineage: Eukaryota; Viridiplantae; Streptophyta; Magnoliopsida; Poales; Bromeliaceae
Description: long non-coding RNA (ACOM_LNC018850)
Source: RNAcentral
UAUAAAUAUAAACUAUAAUACUAAUAUAUAGAAUAUGAUAAUAAUUAUAUAUUAAUAAUAUAAAAUAUGAAAAAUAAAAAAUAUAUAUAAUAAUUUUUAUUUAUAAUUUUUUUCUUUUCAACCAAACAACCAUCUCGAAAAAUUACUUUUCUUUUCCUACGAACCAAACAUAAACAACGUAAAAUAUUUUUUCCACCGAAAACUUUUUUUUCACAGAAAAUUUUUUUUCCACAGUUUUACGUGGAACCAAACACACCCUUAGCUUUAGAUUUUUUUCAAAUUCCAAAAAUAUAAAGGAUUGUUUUUUCUUUUAUUUUCUAUUCUAUAGAAUAGAAUAAGGCUUCAUUUGUGAUUACAGAAAGAUUGCAUUACGUGCGAUGAGAAAAUACCCUUUUUUUUCGUACGUAAUAUUGCGUUACACAUAUCGCGAUGAGUCGGUUACGAUAUAUUUUCUGCGGUCCCAUCGGAGAACGCAGAAGCAUAUCUCUAUAUAUUUUUUUCUCAACUCCAUUUUAUCUAAUAACGUUAGAUAGAUCUCAAUACCAAACUAAGCCUAAGAGCUUUUUCUGAAACACAAUUCCGAAAAUAAAAGAGUGAUUUAAAAAAGAAUCAAUAGUCUAAAAU